UAGGAUUCCAGGAUGCCGUGAGAAAGCAAAACUUUAGAAUCAGAGCUCAGUUUGAAUCUUUGGCGCUUUCAUUCAGUGGCUGCGUGACCUGAGGAAGUCACAACCACGCUGAGCCUCAAUGUCCUCAUCUGUAAAAUGGAGAUCAUAGUAUCCGUUGUCUUACAGGAUUGUGGCAAAAUACCGAGCUAAAGUUCCUGGCACGCAGUACCAGCUCAGGAAAGGUUCAUCUCUUCCUCCUCCGCAGAUUCAGCCUGGGACGCUUGCUGUUUCCGAACUUCUGUUGCCACCUAUCCCAGUUUGGAGGGAAUUUUCCCAAGGAUGGUGAAGAAGGGAUUUCCACACGCCGCCUCACUCAGCCCCGCACCCCUGGCCACCAGCCAGGACUUAGGGUGUAGCUUUAUGACCACACUGCCGUAGGAAGCCGUAAGUUGGAAAUCAACAGGCCUGGCUUGAAGUGUGGCCUUAGGCAACACCGUUCUCAUCUACAUCUGGAUUCUCCAACCAAGCUGGUAGGACUCAGAGGUCACAGUCCAACUGUCUGGAAGAAAAUUUCAACUGAAAUUUGUUUUUGCCUAAUCCAUACAAUAAGAAGGAGGAAGGAGAAAAGAACGUGAAGGAGAGAGAUUUGGGGUCCUUUUAGGCAAGGCAAACAUUCUCAUGUUACCACUGGGACCACUUCUCUUAUCUGCAUGAUCUACAUCCACUGGUCCCUUAAGGCAUUUGAGUUUGCCACUCUGGACUGGAAUAUUUUCAUGUCCCUUCUUUUUGUUUUUGUUGUUGUUGCUGAGUUGUUUUUGUUUGUUUGUUUGUUUGUUUUGAGACAGAGUCUUGCUCUGUUGCCUAGGCUGGAGUGCAAUGGCGCGAUCUGAGCUCACUGCAACCUCCGCCUCCCAGGAUCAAGCUAUUCUCCUGCCUCAGCCUCCCAAGUAGCUGGGAUUACAGGCGCCUGCCACCACGCCCAGCUAAUUUUUGUAUUUUUAGUAGAGACAAGGUUUCACCAUAUUGGCCAGGCUGGUGUCAAACUCCUGACCUCAAGUGAUCUGCCUGCCUCGGCCUCCCAAAGUGCUGGGAUUACAGGCAUGAGCCAAUGUGCCCGGCCCAUUUUUGUGUCCUUUCUGUUGAUAGUGUUUGGUGCUGCUGAGGUCUCUACUUCCAUAGGGCUUUCUUCCCCAGGCUCUGUCCUGUCAUACAUUCACUGAAUCAGUGCCAGGGCCUGACUUCAUCUAAGGGAUCUUCAUCCAAGUCAAGCCUGACAAAUGGGGCUUAUCUCAAUUAUCAUUUCCUAUCAAUUGGGAAUGGCUGCCUAGAACAUUGCGUUAAAGCUAAUUCUGAACUUGUAUUCAGGCUCACUGGGAAGAGAGAUAUCUGCCAGGGGAUUAGAUGGGGAGAUAGAGUCAUGGUGCUAUUAUUUGCAGUCCUUGGUAAACCAGCCUCUCAUUUUACAGGUAGGAGAUGAAGGCCCAAAGAUGGUAAAUUACAAGCCCCCUGUCACUCAGGAGAUGGGCCGAGACCCUGAUUCCAAGCCAAGACUCUUUCCACCUCUGUUAAAAUGGAUUCCCCAACUGAAAUGCUCAUCAUCUCUGCCUUCCAAAUCCUCCCUUCAUGGAGGACCUAGUCAAAGUCCUUUACAGACAUGUCUUCACAGAGGGCUCCAGCCCUCACUAACGACCUCUCUCAAUCCACCACCCCACAGCCUCUUCCAUCCAGCCUGGUCCUGGGUUCAUGGAACUAGUGGUUGAGUUACUAAGCAGGCUCCAGGAAACAUAGCAGUGUACAAGAGAGAUGCCACACUCCCUCUGGCAAAAAAAAAAAAAGGCAAACUAAAAUACUCAUUAGAUGAUCACUUACUUAAUUAUGGCUGUGGUAAGCCUCAGAAGAAGAAUCUCUCUGAGCAUGCCUAAAGGGAGGUUGGCCACUCAGGGAAGGCCUGUUUGAGGAAGUCACCUUUGAGAUGAGAUGGGAAAGAUAACUGGCAGGCAGGAGUGAGGGGGAAGACUCCAGAAAUAGGAAACAGGAAAGUUUCCUAUCAAUUGAAGAAACUGGAAGAGGCAGAGCACAGACAAUGAAGGCACAAAAGGGCCUUGGGAGCCAAGGACAGGGGUUGUUCUCCAUCCCAAGAGCAAUGGGAAGUUUUGAAGGGUUUUGCAGGGAACAUAACGCUGGUUCCUUUUUUGUUUUUUGUUUUUUGUUUGAGAUGGGGUCUCACUCUGUUGCCUAGGCUGGAGUACAGUGGCACAAUCAUAGCUCACUGCAGCCCAUCUCCUGGGCUCAAGUGAUCCUCCCACCUCAGUCUCCCGAGCAGCUGAGACCACAGGUACGCACCACCAUGCCCAGCUAACUUUUCUCUUUUGAGUAGAGAUGAGGGUCUCACCAUGUUGCCCAGGCUGGUCUUGAACUCCUGGCUUCAAGUGAUCCUUCUGCCUUGGCCUCCCAAAGUGCUGGGAUUACAGGCAUGAGCCACUGUGCCUGACCUAACACUGAUUCUAAGCUGUCUUAUGUAGUUCUCUCAUUGCACACAGCAGGAACCUAACAUAAAGCUAUUGAAUUGAAUGGAGCUUUCCCCAUGGAGGAUGGUAAACUCCAGGUAGCCUGCUAGGGGCAUGGGACAUAGAGUAACACAUGGUCAGGACUCAAAGGAACCUGCUCAGUGGCACCGGUCAUGGUUAUUGACUAGACCCUGCUCCAUGUUUCUCAGUGCCUACCACGGGGUACUCCUACUUGCUAUCUCUCCAAAUUCGGUGUCUCUUUUAUAUCCUACUGCCUUCUCAGCAUCUCCACUCAACACAGCCAAAAGUGAACUCGUGAUAUUCCCCACCACCACCCCCUGCAAUCCCUCUGCACUCCCCAUCUUAGUAAAUGGCAACUCCCAGAUGUCCAUCCAACCUCCCAUGGUUCCAGCCAUUUUCACACCAAUCCUGUGAAUAUGGGCAUUCAGAAUGAACACCGGGCCAAGCGGCUAACUGGACCAGGUAUCCGCACAGGCAAGGAUACGUCACAGGCGCCUUCUCCACAGUAGCCCAGCACAGUGUUUUGAUCCAUGGAUGACGGGCUGAGGUCUUCCAUCUCCCAGAUGUGCUUAUCUCUUAGGGAAGGGAAUUCCAAGUGCAACUGAACAUUCUGUCUGAGGACUUUUACUCUGACCACCUAAAAGCUCUUUUUGAUAAGAUAAAGGGGAUUACUUUAAUCAUCUUUAAACUAAUCCAGCCGAACUAUAAAUCCAUGCUCUCCCAUUUGAGCUA
This is a long non-coding RNA of Symphalangus syndactylus (siamang), 3239 nucleotides long. RefSeq lists it as uncharacterized. NCBI's taxonomy places the organism in Eukaryota, Metazoa, Chordata, Mammalia, Primates, Hylobatidae. The record is from RefSeq and is a predicted model, not a curated record.